GGAUCAAAUGAUGAGAGGAUUACUAAUAUUAACUUACUCGAAUGAGUAGCUGCCGUCGGCGUUCAUUUCGCUGUUGGAUGACACAAUUUCGAUGGGCUUCUUAUCUCCUUGAGGUGCGGCGAAGGCCACGGCCAAGAAAGCGACAGCGACGAUCUGGCAGUGCAUCAAGUCAAAAUAAAAGUUUCUCUUCUGAAGACAGUUGAAGGAAUUGUGUGAAGAAGAUUGCGAUGUUGGCCACCUUUUAUACCCUGCAGUUGCGGCUGAGUGAAAGUGAUAGGCCAAGACCUUCCACAGGUUUUCCAACUGUUGGAUGAUGUCUGAGCUAUGAUUAAAAUGGCCUAUGGUGCUGCAGUCCAAUGUGUGCUGAUGGUGUUUCCUGCCUUGUCACCUGGUUAAAUGAUUACUGGAACAAAAAAGAAUCCGUGUUGCAGAUCAUUAUCUAUUUUUGUUUAUUUUUAUUUUGCAAGUGAUAUGAGGCAAAUGUUUUUUUUUUCUUGCGCUUUGUAUUUUUCGCAAUUUUUCUCAAAGUGUUACUUGAAAUGGGGAAAGACUACUUGCUAAUAUAACAUGGGCUCGUAUGAAGUAUGAAUGGGGAUAUAGAAAGCUGAUUAAUGUUGUGAAAACAUGGCAGGAUUUUUUAUUACUUUUUAAAUCGAAAAUGUUUUGGAAGUUAAAGAGAAAAAUUUGAAUUACAAAUUCUCUAGUUAUAA
Daphnia pulicaria is the source of this 710-nucleotide long non-coding RNA. RefSeq lists it as uncharacterized. The record is from RefSeq and is a predicted model, not a curated record. NCBI's taxonomy places the organism in Eukaryota, Metazoa, Arthropoda, Branchiopoda, Diplostraca, Daphniidae. The transcript has 3 exons.